UACGAAGGGGGCAAGCGUUGUUCGGAUUUACUGGGCGUAAAGCGUACGUAGGCGGAUGAUUAAGUCAGGGGUGAAAUCCCGGGGCUCAACCUCGGAACUGCCUUUGAUACUGGUCAUCUUGAGUCCGGGAGAGGUGAGUGGAACUCCUAGUGUAGAGGUGAAAUUCGUAGAUAUUAGGAAGAACACCAGUGGCGAAGGCGGCUCACUGGCCCGGAACUGACGCUGAGGUACGAAAGCGUGGGGAGCAAACAGGAUUAGAUACCCUGGUAGUCCACGCCGUAAACGAUGGAUGCUAGCCGUCGGGAAGCUUGCUUCUCGGUGGCGCAGCUAACGCAUUAAGCAUCCCGCCUGGGGAGUACGGUCGCAAGAUUAAA
RNAcentral lists this ribosomal RNA (374 nucleotides) under uncultured bacterium. RNAcentral's name for it is "bacterial SSU rRNA". It matches the Rfam family "Bacterial small subunit ribosomal RNA", at positions 524 to 898 of the family's 1533-position model. The record is from RNAcentral.